Molecule: transfer RNA, 87 nt
Filed under: Acidobacteriota bacterium
Lineage: Bacteria; Pseudomonadati; Acidobacteriota
Also listed under: 1 other name
Description: tRNA-Leu
Rfam family: tRNA
About the family: Transfer RNA (tRNA) molecules are approximately 80 nucleotides in length. Their secondary structure includes four short double-helical elements and three loops (D, anti-codon, and T loops). Further hydrogen bonds mediate the characteristic L-shaped molecular structure. tRNAs have two regions of fundamental functional importance: the anti-codon, which is responsible for specific mRNA codon recognition, and the 3' end, to which the tRNAs corresponding amino acid is attached (by aminoacyl-tRNA synthetases). tRNAs cope with the degeneracy of the genetic code in two manners: having more than one tRNA (with a specific anti-codon) for a particular amino acid; and 'wobble' base-pairing, i.e. permitting non-standard base-pairing at the 3rd anti-codon position.
Source: RNAcentral
GCCGGGAUGGCGGAACUGGCAGACGCAGCGGACUCAAAAUCCGCCGACCUUCGGGUCAUGGGGGUUCAAGUCCCCCUCCCGGCACCA